Molecule: long non-coding RNA, 3616 nt
Organism: Manis pentadactyla (Chinese pangolin)
Lineage: Eukaryota; Metazoa; Chordata; Mammalia; Pholidota; Manidae
Exons: 5
Source: RefSeq, a predicted model, not a curated record
AGGGCUUCCUCCCAUCCUUUCCUCAGCCUCUUCAGUCAUCCUCAACCCCCACCUCCCAGCCUUCUCCCCAGAGCGUGCCCUGUGCCUGGGGGCUCAUGGUCUGGGACAAGCUGGGUACCCGCCCCCACCCAGUCCCCUCUGAGUGCCACCGUGGCAUUGUGCCUUUGUGGGCACCUGCUGGCACAGCCCCCACCUGCCGGGGUGGAGGCAGCUCAUUCUCUAGUGCUCUGGCCCCUCAGGGUGGGUGGAGGGCACCACUUGGGGGUCCCCCGGUCCCCAUUUCUGCUUCUCCGAGGCCUCUGUCCCUCUUCCUGCACAGAUCCUGCCCCUGUGAGACCCAGCCCCGUGGCUCUGCACCCCUGGCUCUCCUGCAGAGGAGACGGGGCUCCACCAGCCUCAGGCUCCUGCUCGCUGCAGCCCUGUGCCUGUGUCCCCUCCCCACUGGUCAUCCUCACUUGGGGACUGCAGAAUCGGCACAGGUGCCUCACCCGGCCGGGGUGACAUUCUCCACGAAUGUCACAAAUGUUCUUUCCCUCUACUUCAACCACCCAGCCCCAGGGUCACUCCUGGAUCUUGUCCUUCCUUAUCCAAAUCCCAUUUCCCAGCAUCCCAUCCUCUGAUGAUCCCUUCUUGCCCAGUCUCCUUGCUCCCAAGAUGCCUUCAUCUCAUCAAGAUUCCUGGUCCAUCAAACCUAUACUUUCUGCCUAUUAAUAAGCCUGCUCACAGGUGUCAGCUCAUUACCCACUUACAUUUCAUGGUCAUAUGCAUUGCCACCCCCUUGCUGUCCCUCUGGGAUGCUCUGGGAAGUGGGUUGUAUUAAAUUUUCCAACCUAUGUGGACCUUCCAUGUGCGAUUCUGCAAUGUGACCUUGUCACUGCCCAUUGAGAGCUGGAGUCAAACUCCCUGCCCUUGAAUCUGGACUGGUUCUUGACCUGACUGUAACUAAAAGGAUGCAGUGGAUGUAACACCCAGUGAAUUGCCAAGCUAGCUUGAAAUGACCAUGCAGCUGCCCCCUAGUUCUCUUGGGAUCCUCAUUCUGGGGAAGCCACUUAACCAAUAGGGAGUCCAAUUACCCAAAGGUCCUUGCUGGAAAAGCCACAUGCAGGCUCUUAAAUCAAUAAUAUCAGUGAACCCAGCCUUCCAGCAACCCUGCCAGGUGCCAGACAUGUGAGUGAAGCUGUCUUGGAUGCUCCAGACCAGUGAGUGACCUUCAUCAAUGCCGUGAGGAGCAGAAAAAUUAUCCAGCUGAGCCCUGACUGAAUUCACAACCUGGGAAACAUAACGAAGUUGCUGUCCUUUUAAGCCACUAGGCUUUGAUUUGCCCAGUCUUUGUAACAGGAAUAUUCUGCUUGAAGACCCCAAGAUCGGUUGGACCCAGUCUUCUGUAUCUUGUGUUGUGAUCUCUGAGCAGCUGGAGAAAAUCAGAAGCUGAGAAAGCUGAGAAACAGAUGGUGGGUGACCUGCCCCGACAGAGUAAGUGUGAGUAGGUGCAGCCAGGCUGGCCCUGCUCUACGGCCCCUUGGGAGGGGUAGAAGGUUAAUCAGCCUCCUUGGCAAUGGGAUCCCUUGGCCAAUGUGGUCAUGAUUUGGAGAAUCCCCAUCUUUUUCAUUUGCUUUCACGUUUCUGUGGCUGGAUCACCCGCUGCUGACUUGGGCACUGCCUCCCAGAAGGCAGCACCUUUUUGUGAGGCUGCCUGGAAGGUGGGGGAGCAUCUCGUUCCCCUCCCUGGAUAGAGGGAGCGGCUGCCCAGCAAGUGCCAGGAAAACACCUCCUGGUGUUGAUAAGUACCUUUGGAUGAGGGCAUCCUCGUGCUACAGGCGAGAUGUGCAUGCCCAGGGUCUCUGGGAUGUGGAGCGACAGAUGCCUUCCGCUGCAGCUGUGGCCACUCUGUCCUCCUCUUUGGAGCAGCUGCAUCAGGAUCUCCAGUGGCUUCCUGGUGAGCUGCUGUCACCCCAGGUCCCAGGUGGAGAGUGUUACUGAGCGCUGGGUGUGUGACGCAGGCAAAGGGAACUGUCUGGAUCCUUUCUGGGAAUACUGGGACAGUAGCUCUUCUCCUGAGGGCAGGAAGGGUUGAGGGUAGGAGGUGAGGAAGAGCUCAGCCGUUUUUCUACCAUGAGGACUCCCCAGUGCUGAUGACUGUCCUGCAGCUGGCUGGCCUCUGUGGUCACCAGGGGUCCACCUCCCCUCAGUGGCAGCCUGCCUCCUGCCCCUCUCCUCCAAGCCUCCGUGUGAGCCACUCCCUCUGCCUGGAACAGUCUCCCAGGGCUGGGUUUCUGCCCUUCUUUCAAGCUCAGCCCAUGACCCCUCUUUUAUGAAGCCUUUCUUGAUUACUCUGAAUUCUUAGUCUGAUUAUUGACUGUUUACAGGCUGAUAUGAUGUGUUUUCUUUAUCUACCCAACUAGAUAACAAGUCCGAGAAGGCAGGUUGGGCCUAUAUUUCUUUGUACUCUGUGGGGUACAUACGGAUGCGUGUUGUCUGAACAGAGCCAUGUGACCGGAAAUCCUGCUCUGCGUGGCUGUUUGUGGGAAGGGGACAGACGGGUGGCUGGGGACACUGUGAUGUUACACUUCCAAGUCCUGCUCUGCCGACCAGGGGACCCACCUGCCUGGGAUAUUCAUGCUCCGAGAAGUUCAGCUGGCUCAGUCUAUUGCCUCCGUCUUCUUUUCUGUCGGUUCUUCUGUAGUCAUUUCUACAUGCGUCCAGCUCCCCACUUCUCAGCUAGGGAACCAACUAACCUCCUUUCCUGAGCAGUAACUGGCUCAUGGAGUAGAUCCUUACGAGGCCCCACGAGACAGUCCCCCACUGUGGGUGCUCACUGGGUGUCACAGGUCAUGAAGGGCCCCAGGGUGGGUGAACCCAGAGGCAGAUGGGGAAACUGCUUUACCAACUAUUUACUCUGCAGCCUUUCAGAGUUAGGGUGUCUUAUGCAAGGUCGCCCCUAGACCUCUGCUGUGCCAUGCUGUGGCCACUGGCAGUGGUCUGCAUGUUUCUGGGGAGCCCACAAUAUCUGUAUAGACUCGAGGACCAAAAAUAAGCUUUGAAAGGAUUCCACUGUACAGGACAAUUUCCCACUUGGCAUGAUGUGACCUUGAGCCUGCAGACGGUCCUGAGGUGAGUAGCUGUCAUUUCUUAAUUGAAUAAAAAGUUUUGCUAAGAGCUUUUCCUCUGCAAUGAUUUUCGAUUUUCGUGUAUUUAUUGAGAUGGGAUCAGCACCAUGACUUCAUUUACAGGUGGAGAUCCCGGGGCUCUGAGAGGCAGGUGUGGCUUGCUUUCUGUCACAGAGACAUCACAGACCCAAGCGCAGACUUUGCCUUCUGCCACUGACCCACCCAGUGGACGGGCCGUUUUCCUACAGAUUCUUGAGGGAAGUGCUAACAUUUUCAGGACUCCAGGGAGGCGCCACAGUGGAGGGCUGGGCCGUGGCCUCGGGAGUCUACAGAGCUCCUUGAGCCUCUUGUUUUUCUGGGGGCCACUGAGGGAUUUCAGUUUCCUGAUGUAAGGGCUUGGGUCCCUUUAAUCCUGAAAAACCUCUGUUUUUUCAAAUCCUGUUCCCAAAAACAUUUAAAUGAGGAAGAAUAAUUAGUUCCUGCAGCAAGGGCUGUGGAAAAGCUGAGGG